This is a long non-coding RNA of Peromyscus eremicus (cactus mouse), 1711 nucleotides long. RefSeq lists it as uncharacterized. Lineage: Eukaryota; Metazoa; Chordata; Mammalia; Rodentia; Cricetidae. The transcript is spliced from 2 exons. The record is from RefSeq and is a predicted model, not a curated record.
GUCAGCGCCAACAAUCCCGGAAACUGGAACCCGGAUGCUACAGUCUUAAACGGGACUGUGGGAAUCGUACUUGGAAGGAGCAGUAUCCCACUGCUCAGAUGGGGCAAGGAAUGCACCUAGAUGGAGAAGCUACCAUAAAGGAGAAAUUAUUAUAAUGAGCUGCAUAUUCAUCCAGUGAAUGACUAACCAACUGAGUCACUCAAUUAAGAGUGUCCUGUGGGAAUGAAAGUUGCCAAAAUAACCAAGGUUCCCCCAAACGCCUGAGUCCUGACAAAAUACUUUUUUAUACACUAUCUCUCGAUCUUAGCACAAUUUGGCAAUGGAGACAUUUUUUUUUCCUCCUAUAGAUAAGAAAAUGGGUAAGAGAAAGAGUACAUGACUCACUCGUGGUCUCUCGGCUGGUAAGAAUAGAUUGGAACAAGAUUCAAUCCAUGAAAGGCUCCAAGCCCAGGAAGACAGCAUCCUAGCCUCUAUCAAGUCUUAAGAGGAGGAAAAGCUUUGUUGCUGAGAUCCUGGCAACCGGGAGAUGUGACAGUAGCAGAGAAGGAUGAAAGGAGCAGAGGGGAGCAAGAGCAGGCCUACACGGUGGCAUUGGAGCUGCUGAGAGAAACCUUCCUGGUCCCUUCCACUGGGGAUUGACCAUGGCAAUAAGGUCCCUGGACACUGGAGCCUCGCUAGCCAACCUUCCUGCCCAGCCUCCAGCUGCCACCCCACAAUGCCAACAACUCCUCUCCUGGAAGGAUCCUGUGGAAGCCAUUAUGAUAAUGCAGUUCCUUGCUGACUUGCCUUUGGGAGCACCAGGCAGAUCCCUUGAGCCGGGCUUUCUUUGAAUGGAAGAACUAGAGGAGAUGCUGCCAUGGUAACGCCGUUCCCCUGCCCAUUUCUACCAUCGCCGAGCUGGGGGAGAUCCCUGGAGGAAGUGGUUCCCCACCUCCUUCACCAAGGCAGGAGAGAUCGCCAAGGACACACAGAUGGAGAGGAGCCUUAGGGAAUGUUCCCUCUAGCCUGAAAUGGCUGCUGAGGUUGUCAUGGCAACCGGAUCCUUUGCCCACCAAACCAUGAAGGGGAGGGAGAGCGGAAGGGCUGCCUGGGAGCCAGCCUGUGCCUGCGCAGCUCUAAGUUCCCACCUCAGCUGGCCGACUAGAAAAGGGAGGUCCCCCUUAUCCUGGAGCAUCCCGGAAAACCAUCUCUGAAAGGACAGUGCUAAUUAAGGCAGGAGGUGAGGAGGAAUGGUUAAACUAGGCAUAGUGGUGCACACUGGGAAUCCCAGCAUACAGGAGGCUGAGGCAGGAGGAUUGCAAGUUCAAGGAGCCCCUGGACUAUGUAGUGAGAACUAGUCUCAAAAACAAAGAAUAGCUACAAAAGACGUGGAGAUGGCUACUUUUAAUGUCAACAGUGACUUUGCCAAUGCAAAGCAUUUGGAUUUCAUGUGUCCAAAAUGCCCCCUUUUUCCCCCUCUCUAUUCUUAAAUUGUCUUGAAUUAAUCCCUUAACUAAUAAUAAUAUGUCAAAUACUCAGAUCACUUUUGUCUAUUAGCAGCAAGAGAAGGAGACCUGGGAGCAGCUAUAAGAGGAAACAUCCCAUCCUUCAAAGAGGCUCAAAUUGGCAUCUCCAAGUCAUAUAUAUGUGUGCAUGAUCCAUUAUUAAAAUGUGCUCUAGACUAUUAAACCAAUGCAAAAUAAAUAAAAAUAGAAUUAGUCUAGAAACCAAA